AACGAACGCUGGCGGCAUGCCUAACACAUGCAAGUCGAACGAGACCUUCGGGUCUAGUGGCGCACGGGUGCGUAACGCGUGGGAACCUGUCCUUAGGUUCGGAAUAACUCCCCGAAAGGGGUGCUAAUACCGGAUAAUGUCUUCGGACCAAAGAUUUAUCGCCUUUGGAUGGGCCCGCGUUGGAUUAGCUAGUUGGUAGGGUAAAAGCCUACCAAGGCGACGAUCCAUAGCUGGUCUGAGAGGAUGAUCAGCCACACUGGGACUGAGACACGGCCCAGACUCCUACGGGAGGCAGCAGUGGGGAAUAUUGGACAAUGGGCGAAAGCCUGAUCCAGCAAUGCCGCGUGAGUGAUGAAGGCCUUAGGGUUGUAAAGCUCUUUUACCCGGGAUGAUAAUGACAGUACCGGGAGAAUAAGCUCCGGCUAACUCCGU
RNAcentral lists this ribosomal RNA (432 nucleotides) under uncultured bacterium. RNAcentral describes it as "partial 16S ribosomal RNA". It matches the Rfam family "Bacterial small subunit ribosomal RNA", at positions 29 to 506 of the family's 1533-position model. The record is from RNAcentral.